This 409-nucleotide long non-coding RNA is filed under the name Mytilus galloprovincialis (Mediterranean mussel). The record is from RNAcentral. Lineage: Eukaryota; Metazoa; Mollusca; Bivalvia; Mytilida; Mytilidae.
ACCAUAUAUAUUACUCUAAACUUCACAGUUUUAAUAUUUAUCAAAUAUAUUUAUUGUUAACCGGCGGUAACCGGAACACACCUUAAUCGCGAUUUAAACUUCACCCACAAACUAAUAAAAUAAUGUCACUCACUAUUUCAAAUCGUUGUAGAAUAAUUAAUUCUGGGCCGAUUUUCAUUUUUUAUGCAUCAGUCGAUUUGUUUAAAUAAGUUGUUCACGAAUAAAGGUCUACCGACGCGAUUGAAAUAAGUAAAGGUGUUUUCCGACAGGUAAUAUUGUAAAGCUGUCUCGAUUAAAACCACGUGAUUGAUAAGAAGUAUCUCUGGUCAAUUUAUGACCGCGGCAUCGCAGAUAGUCACAAAAGAAAUUAACGACAGCGUACUAAUUAGACAGUUUCCAUAUCUUUUCU